RNAcentral lists this ribosomal RNA (395 nucleotides) under uncultured Methanosaeta sp. Its description in RNAcentral is "bacterial SSU rRNA". It matches the Rfam family "Archaeal small subunit ribosomal RNA", at positions 946 to 1338 of the family's 1478-position model. The record is from RNAcentral. Lineage: Archaea; Methanobacteriati; Methanobacteriota; Methanomicrobia; Methanotrichales; Methanotrichaceae.
UAUGAAGGUCAGGCUGAAGACCUUACCCCGAUUAGCUGAGAGGUGGUGCAUGGCCGUCGUCAGUUCGUACUGUGAAGCAUCCUGUUAAGUCAGGCACGAGCGAGACCCACGUCCACAGUUGCCAGCAUACCCUCCGGGGUGAUGGGUACACUGUGGAGACCGCCGCUGCUAAAGCGGAGGAAGGAGUGGGCAACGGUAGGUCAGUAUGCCCCGAAUCUCCCGGGCUACACGCGGGCUACAAUGGUUGGUACAAUGGGCAUCUACCCCGAAAGGGGAAGGAAAUCUCUUAAAGCCAAUCGUAGUUCGGAUUGAGGGCUGCAACUCGCCCUCAUGAAGCUGGAAUCCGUAGUAAUCGUCGUUUCAACAGAACGCGGUGAAUACGUCCCUGCUCCUUU